CAGUCGCCACGGUAAUACGAAGGGGGCUAGCGUUGUUCGGAAUUACUGGGCGUAAAGGGCGCGUAGGCGGCCAUUCAAGUUAGAUGUGAAAGCCCUGGGCUCAACCUAGGAAUUGCAUUUGAUACUGUUUGGCUUGAGUUCGGGAGAGGUGACUGGAAUUCCCAGUGUAGAGGUGAAAUUCGUAGAUAUUGGGAAGAACACCAGUGGCGAAGGCGGCUCACUGGACCGACACUGACGCUGAGGCGCGAAAGCGUGGGGAGCAAACAGGAUUAGAUACCCCAGUAGUCCCUGUCUCUUAUCC
RNAcentral lists this ribosomal RNA (301 nucleotides) under uncultured bacterium. RNAcentral's name for it is "partial 16S ribosomal RNA". It matches the Rfam family "Bacterial small subunit ribosomal RNA", at positions 509 to 809 of the family's 1533-position model. The record is from RNAcentral.